This 471-nucleotide ribosomal RNA is filed under the name Harmoniella sp. RNAcentral describes it as "eukaryotic LSU rRNA". The stretch from base 112 to 265 matches the Rfam family "5.8S ribosomal RNA". The record is from RNAcentral. Lineage: Eukaryota; Fungi; Ascomycota; Pezizomycetes; Pezizales; Strobiloscyphaceae.
CCGAGGGACAGCCCUUCGGGGCCCGCCUCCCUCUGGCGGAGUCGCCCUCGGGAGGUAUACCAAACUCAUGUUGUUUUGAUUUCUGUCUGAACGUGAAACUAUAACAGUUAAAACUUUCAACAACGGAUCUCUUGGUUCUCGCAUCGAUGAAGAACGCAGCGAAAUGCGAUAAGUAGUGUGAAUUGCAGAAUUCAGUGAAUCAUCGAAUCUUUGAACGCACAUUGCGCCCUCUGGUAUUCCGGGGGGCAUGCCUGUUCGAGCGUCAUCAAACAAGCCUCAAGCUAUUUUUGCUUGGUAUUGGAGGUGGACGGGAUAACCGCCCCCUCUCAAAGCGAUCUGGCGGAAAGCCUUGUCGGCCCAGGCGUAGUAAUAAUCUUUCUCGUUUAGGUCGGCGGUGGUGUUCUUGCCGUACAACCCCCAAUCUACCAAUAGUUUGACCUCGGAUCAGGUAGGGAUACCCGCUGAACUUAA